Bombus pascuorum is the source of this 2153-nucleotide long non-coding RNA. RefSeq lists it as uncharacterized. The record is from RefSeq and is a predicted model, not a curated record. The transcript is spliced from 2 exons. NCBI's taxonomy places the organism in Eukaryota, Metazoa, Arthropoda, Insecta, Hymenoptera, Apidae.
GGUUGCACGGGAUUGCACGUGUGCGAGCCGCGCGAGGCGCAGCCUCUGAAACGAGAUGCGCGACCUUGAACUCGAACUCCAGGGUCGAUCGAUAGGCGCCACGCGCCUCUCCUGACCUAUAUAAACACGAGGAAUUCCGGGAGAGAACGCGCCGCCGGGAAAACGUGCUCGUGACUCGUUCUCACGAGCCGCACCAGACUCAUUCGUAUCGUCACCCUGAUCGCGAGUACAUAAGAAGACGAUCCUGUAACCGAAUUUAACGUUUUCAUAAUUUGUUCAUAAUAAAAGACUUUGAUUCGUUUCGCGUCUUUUAUGAUUCCAUCGCUCUAUAAUAUCUUCUGGCGUUGGAUAUAACGCGAGAAUUUGACAUGUACGUAUAUCCAGUGAAAUGGUAGAGAAUCGAAGCCAACGAUAAUAGAAGUUUGAACGUUAAAAACGAUUGUAUUGAUCGACACGAAAAAAAAAUACAAAAAGCAAAUCAUUCUGUUUUGAAAGCAAAGUCGAUCGCGCUUGGCAGCUAACUGGCUCGCGUGGGUGUUAAUUACUCUGUUAAAACCAACUCGCGUUAGUGGGUGUAUUACACGAGAUCGUGAACAUGAAACAUCGACGGAUAUGAGCGAGUAUCGGUUGGCUAACUUGUACGUACUACGCGUAAGGUACGCUGAUAGAUACAGUUUUCGUGAUUUUUUCCCAAGUUGAUACGAAACCUCCCGCGUCUCUCGAUUCAACCUGUCGACUAUAUACCGAGCAAUACGUACAUAGUUUCAAGCGGCCGUCACCCGUGGUACAUAUUGCAAAACGGAAAUCUACGUCGAUUCGAUCGUAAAUCUUUCGCGAAUAUGAAAUCUCCGUACGGUCGUUUAUGGGUUUGGCGUGGAGAUCUACACGACUGCUAUAUGUAACGUGACCUGCACACGCUACUGUGCGGUUAAUCAUGUAUUUGCAGAGUGCAAUAAAGAUUUGUUACACUGGCUUCGACGAAAUCGAACCACGAUCAGCAAAUAACAUCUUAAUUCAAACGAUAAAUACAGCGACAUAAAGAUAAACGAAAUUUCCGAUAAUAACAGACAACCGAAAAGAAAAACAGUGCGUCGAUAGAACAAUUAAUUAAAUCCACACGCUAGCCAGACUCUUGUUGAAGCGGACACUUAUUAACUGCAAACUACGCUCGUCGUAAAAUCUGCAUAAUAACACGGUAGAUUUAAAUACCCCUUCGUUGAAGCGCGGUUUGCCUUCAAACUUGCAACAUUAACAGUGGUUUUAAACGACGACAGCUUGCCGACGAAAUUGUUAGUAUGGAAAAAUCAGACGGAUUACGUGAGUUAUACGAAUUCGUGGUGGAGAUCUAUCCGUUUAGAGGCUGGCACAAUUUCCUACCGGCAACAAACGAGAACGCUAUUGAUUUCUAGAGGAGCAGAGCACGAGACGAGAUAGCCUCCGGUGUGCAUCCUACCGUACAACCCAACCAACCUGCAGGCUGGCAACCGCACGGGGAUGAUUCACGGUCAAGGACGUCGUAGCAACCCCUCUAGCUUUUCUCUGGCGCAACCCUCGCUUUCAUCCACCAACGCCAGCACAGAUUCACGAGGACAAUAAUUCGACGGUACGGUGAGUCCAAAGACGGGUCCAUUCGCUCGAGGACACAGAAAUCGAGAGAGAAAUAGGCAGCACUUUACGCAAGCCAGUACUUUCCACAUAAUUCUCGUCGGAGAUCGACCAGGGACAACCGGAGGAUAAUAUAUCGUCAAAAGGGAUUGGUCGUAUGUUAACCAGCGUUACACCUGCGAGCCGAUGAAGAAACUCCAUGGCCAGCCACCUACGCGCGCUGCCUCGUCCGGGUCUUUUACCAUCUGACCGACGAAUUAGGUAGAUAAAGAUUCACACGGGCUUCGCUGUAUGCUUCUACCUGUUUCCUCGACUCGUUCUUCUGCUUGUUUCGUUUAUAACUUUAGAUAAACUGUUGUCAUCAUCGCUGUAUCAGAUUGCGUUUUGCAUUUUACCAAGUUGAUAUUUAGAAUUUUUUAUUACUAUAAAUGUAAAUGUUCGUGUAAAUAUCCAUGUAUAUGGUUAUUUAAUUAUAACUGUGUACCAUGUUUAUAGAAAUGAAGACCACAGAGCAAGAACAUAAUAAACUAUAUUUUCCAUUCUUUAAA